AUACGUAGGGGGCGAGCGUUGUCCGGAAUGAUUGGGCGUAAAGGGCGCGUAGGCGGCGCGGUAAGUCUGGAGUGAAAGUCCCGCUUUCAAGGUGGGAAUUGCUUUGGAGACUGGUUGGCUUGAGUGCGGAAGAGGUAAGUGGAAUUCCCAGUGUAGCGGUGAAAUGCGUAGAGAUUGGGAGGAACACCAGUGGCGAAGGCGACUUACUGGGCCGUAACUGACGCUGAGGCGCGAAAGCGUGGGGAGCGAACAGGAUUAGAUACCCUGGUAGUCCACGCUGUAAACGAUGAAUGCUAGGUGUAGGGGGUAUCGACCCCUCCUGUGCCGGAGUAAACGCAAUAAGCAUUCCGCCUGGGGAGUACGGCCGCAAGGUUGAAACUCAAAGGAAUUGACGGGG
Molecule: ribosomal RNA, 397 nt
Filed under: uncultured bacterium
Lineage: Bacteria
Description: partial 16S ribosomal RNA
Rfam family: Bacterial small subunit ribosomal RNA
Source: RNAcentral